UUAUUUGAAACGGGAUACAACCCCCGACACCGGGUUUAAUCUAGGAUAAUAAAUAAAGUGGGCCUAAAAGCAGCCAUCUUCCAAAAAGCGUUAAAGCUUCAUAUAUUUCAUCUUUAAUUCCGUAAUUUUUACUUAACCCUUCAUUGCUACUGAACUAUUUUAUACCCCUAUAAAAGUUAUCAUGCUAGAACUAGUAACAAGAAAUAGCCUUUCUCCUAAAUGUAUGUUUGAACCAAAAUGGACACUCCACUGGUAAUUAACGUAAAUGUAAAUAUCAUAGUAUACACAGCUAGAAAACCCUAUGUUUGCUCGUCAACCUUACACUAGAACAUUACAGGAAAGAUUAAAAGAGAAAGAAGGAACUCGGCAAAUCACAGUCCCGCCUGUUUACCAAAAACAUCGCCUCUUGACUAAACAUAAGAGGUCCAGCCUGCCCAGUGACAUAGUUUAACGGCCGCGGUACCCUAACCGUGCGAAGGUAGCAUAAUCACUUGUUCUUUAAAUAGGGACUUGUAUCAACGGCAUCACGAGGGCUGUACUGUCUCCUUUCUCCAAUCAGUGAAACUGAUCUCCCCGUGAAGAAGCGGGGAUGAAUCU
RNAcentral lists this ribosomal RNA (597 nucleotides) under Amolops chunganensis (Chungan torrent frog). RNAcentral describes it as "partial 16S ribosomal RNA". The stretch from base 341 to 589 matches the Rfam family "Archaeal large subunit ribosomal RNA", at positions 1787 to 2143 of the family's 2987-position model. The record is from RNAcentral. Lineage: Eukaryota; Metazoa; Chordata; Amphibia; Anura; Ranidae.